Molecule: ribosomal RNA, 1427 nt
Filed under: uncultured organism
Description: 16S ribosomal RNA
Rfam family: Bacterial small subunit ribosomal RNA
Source: RNAcentral
GCUUAACACAUGCAAGUCGAGGGGCACCAUGGUCUUGACUUGCUAAGGCCGAUGGCGACCGGCGCACGGGGGAGUAACACGUAUCCCACCUGCCGCCUACUCUUGGACAGCCUUCUGAAAGGAAAAUUAAUACAAGAUGGCAUCACGAGUCCACAUGUUCACAUGAUUAAAGGUGUUCCGGCAGACGAGGGGGAUGCGUUCCAUAUAUGAUAGGCGGGGGAACGGCCCACCUACUCUUCAAUGGAUAAGGGUUCUGAGAGGAAAGUCCCCCACAUUGGAACUGAGACACGGACCAAACUCCUACGGCAGGCAGCAAUGGGGAAUAUUGGUCAAUGGGCAAGAGCCUGAACCCUCCAAGUAGCGUGAAGGAUGACUGCCCUAUGGGUUGUAAACUUCUUUUAUAAAGGAAUAAAGUCAGAUAUGGAUACCCGGUUGCAUGUACUUUAUGAAAAAAGAUCGGCUAACUCCGGGCCAGCCGCCGCGGGAAUACGGAGGAUCCAAUCGUUAUCCGGAUUUAUUGGGUUUAAAGGGAGCGUAGAUGGAUGUUUAAGUCAGGUGUGAAAGUUUGCGACUCCACCGGAAAAUUGCAGCUGAUACUGGAUAUCUUGAGUGCAAAUGACCGAGGCGGAAUUCAUGGUGUAUCAGAGAAAUAAUUACAUAUCACGAAUAACUCCGAUUGCGAAGACAGCCUGCUAAUCUGCAACGGACAUUGAGGGUGGAAAGUGUGGGUAUCAAACAGGUUUUGCUACCCUGGUAGUCCACACGGUAGGCGAUGAAUACUCGCGGUCUUCGAUAUACAGCAAGCGGCCAAGCGUAAUCCUUAAGUAUUGCACGUGGGGAAUACGCCGGCACCGGUGAAACUCAAAGGAAUUGCCGGGGGGCCGCACAAGCGGAGGAACAUGUGGUCUAAUUGGAUGAUACGCGAGGAUCCUUACCCGGGGUUGAAUGGCAGAUGAAUUAUGGUGAAAUCCGUAAGAUGCAAGGCAUCUGUGAAGGUGUUGCAUGGUUGUCGUCAGCUCGGACCGUGAGGUGUCGGCUUAAGUGACAUAACGAGUGCUACCCUUGUUGUCAGUUUUAGACAGGUUUUGUUGAGGACUCUGACAAGAUUGCCAUGGUAAGAUGGGAGGAAGGUGGGGAUGACGUCAAAUCAGCACGGCCCUUACGUCCGGGGCUACACACGUGUUACAAUGGGGGGUACAGAGGGCCGCUACCACGCGAGUGGAUGCCAAUCCCCAAACCCUUUGUCAGUUCGGACUGGAGUCUGCAACCCGACUCCAAGAAGCUGGAUUCGCUAGUAAUCGAGCAUCAGCCACGGCGCGGUGAAUACUUUCCCAGGGCCUUGUACACCCCGCCCGUCAAGCCAUGGGAGCCGGGGGUACGUGAAGUGCGUAAACGGGAGGAGCGCCCUAGGGUAAAACUGGUGACUG